GACGAACGCUGGCGGCGUGCCUAAUACAUGCAAGUCGAACGCUGAAGCUUGGUGCUUGCACCGAGCGGAUGAGUUGCGAACGGGUGAGUAACGCGUAGGUAACCUGCCUGGUAGCGGGGGAUAACUAUUGGAAACGAUAGCUAAUACCGCAUAAGAGUAGAUGUUGCAUGACAUUUGCUUAAAAGGUGCAAUUGCAUCACUACCAGAUGGACCUGCGUUGUAUUAGCUAGUUGGUGAGGUAACGGCUCACCAAGGCAACGAUACAUAGCCGACCUGAGAGGGUGAUCGGCCACACUGGGACUGAGACACGGCCCAGACUCCUACGGGAGGCAGCAGUAGGGAAUCUUCGGCAAUGGACGGAAGUCUGACCGAGCAACGCCGCGUGAGUGAAGAAGGUUUUCGGAUCGUAAAGCUCUGUUGUAAGAGAAGAACGAGUGUGAGAGUGGAAAGUUCACACUGUGACGGUAUCUUACCAGAAAGGGACGGCUAACUACGUG
Molecule: ribosomal RNA, 497 nt
Filed under: uncultured bacterium
Lineage: Bacteria
Description: partial 16S ribosomal RNA
Rfam family: Bacterial small subunit ribosomal RNA
Source: RNAcentral